UUUAAAGCACCUUCAACAUCCGCUAACACGCGGUUAUCCGGUAAUUAAAUAUUUGGCUAAUUGAUUUUUAAGGAAAGAAGCAUGCUUGACUUGAUAAAGUUGAGAGAAUGAACAGUUUUGAGAGUUGAAACCAUUUUAAGGAGGGAAAGGGGGAACAUUAAGAUAUUACCUAAGUGCAAUAGUUUAUAAGAUUGUAUUUUAAGAUCAAAGGAAGUGAGUGCUUAAUUUAGUUGAUUUUUAGAAAAAAAGAGUUUAGAAUGGCUAUCUGUCGG
This 272-nucleotide long non-coding RNA is filed under the name Solanum tuberosum (potato). Its description in RNAcentral is "long non-coding RNA (STUB_LNC003700)". The record is from RNAcentral. Lineage: Eukaryota; Viridiplantae; Streptophyta; Magnoliopsida; Solanales; Solanaceae.